AUUGAACGCUGGCGGCAUGCCUUACACAUGCAAGUCGAACGGUAACGGGCCUUCGGGUGCCGACGAGUGGCGAACGGGUGAGUAAUACAUCGGAACGUGCCCGAUCGUGGGGGAUAACGAGGCGAAAGCUUUGCUAAUACCGCAUACGAUCUACGGAUGAAAGCAGGGGACCGCAAGGCCUUGCGCGGACGGAGCGGCCGAUGGCAGAUUAGGUAGUUGGUGGGAUAAAAGCUUACCAAGCCGACGAUCUGUAGCUGGUCUGAGAGGAUGAUCAGCCACACUGGGACUGAGACACGGCCCAGACUCCUACGGGAGGCAGCAGUGGGGAAUUUUGGACAAUGGGCGCAAGCCUGAUCCAGCCAUGCCGCGUGCAGGAUGAAGGCCUUCGGGUUGUAAACUGCUUUUGUACGGAACGAAAAGCCUUCUUUUAAUACAGGAGGGUCAUGACGGUACCGUAAGAAUAAGUACCGGCUAACUACGUG
Molecule: ribosomal RNA, 482 nt
Filed under: uncultured bacterium
Lineage: Bacteria
Description: partial 16S ribosomal RNA
Rfam family: Bacterial small subunit ribosomal RNA
Source: RNAcentral